CGUGGCUUUGGUAUGGUGCGUGGCUGUGCCUCAGCUGGCCAGCUCCUGCUAGUGUUGAGUGAAACAAUUGCAAGCCAGGUCAUGGGUAGAGGUAAGGUGUGAAUAGAGAGCAGGGAUUUCUUCGAUGGUUCUGGUCCUGUAAAACUGUGCAGAGGGCAAGACUUUGGAAAAGUAAUAAUCAACUGGAUGGAUAGAUAUAAGGUCAGAAGUAGUACUACUUGUAUAGUAUUUUUGAAACACAAUUUCACAUGUGAGAAAAAUAGUUAGGCAAUACUCUGACCAAAAAGAUCUCUAUCUGUAAGAUUGGUUUGCAUAAAUACCUUAGUAUUAUUUUUUUUAGUAGUUCAAUUCAUGGUCUUAGCCAUGUGUCCCUCUGAUAUUUUCUAAAUCAAAAUACUUAAUGGAAAUAUUUUCAAAUUAAACAUAUAAGUUUUGAAAGAUCAGUAUGGUCGGCUAAAGGGGGGGUGAAUAGGCGACUAACAAAUUUUAAUCUUUUUCUUUUUCUUUUCUUGAAAGAUACAAACACUUAACCUAGGGUUUACUAAAUUCUCUAAAGAUAAUGCAACCCUAGGAUGAAGUGCAAUAGCCGAAGCAACUAUAUAACAAGAAUGUAAAGGGUAAAGAUGGAUACCACACGAGAGACGAAGAUUUCACCGGAGUUCCACCGAUUGGGGUAGGUGUACGUCUCCGUUUAGAGGAGUGUUCUACCACAAAGAUAGAGACGCCACAAAGGCUCACUCUAUUCUCCUCUCAUGGCACCACAAAGGUGAGUGAGCUCCACUAAUGGCUUCCUUGAAGGUGAAGACCGAACCUUUACAAACUUGACCGGGGCUAGCUCCACAACUCAAUUGGAGGCUCCCAAUCCAAUCCUCAAGCUCCACAAUCCCCAGGGGAAGAGCUCAAGGCAACCACUUCCGUCUAGGGCUCCCAAAUGCCCAAGAGAAAUGAAAUCCACAAGAGAAACAAGGGGAAUCAACUUUGUGACUUGGUGAAACCCUAGAUCUAGGUAUUCUUCUCCAAUCCUCAAAAAAUCAACAAGGGGGAAGCUUUAUGGAGGGAGAUCUAGUAGAAUGAAGCUUAGGGAGUUCUUGAGAGAGAGGGGUUGUUCUUUGCUUCGUGCUCGGGCAAGAAACCCGUUGGGGAUGAAGGGGUAUGUAUUUGGACUCCCUAAAAUCUAAGCGUUAUGCACUGCGAGUUCCAGGGGCGAAACUUCCGCUGGUCACCGGAAGUUCCGGGUGACCGGAAGUUCUGGCCCUGUUCUGGCUCAACUUCCGGAAAUCCACAAUGGAUUCCAGUAGCGUUGCGGACCUGGUCCGGAGGUUGGGCGGAAGUUCCGGUGUAUCGAAACCCCGCCGGAACUUCUGGACCUGGGCAGGCAAAUGCACACCAGUUAGGCUCUAGAGUUGGUUCUCUCUCACUUUUUGGGUAGGCUUUAUGUGAAUGUAAGAUGUUUGUUUGUGUAUGUGAAAAGCGAUUCACCCAUCACCUUCCCAUGUGGACUCCCUCUUAAUAGUACAGAGUUCCUACGACUCAAUAACCGAAAAAGCCGCUAAAACUCCACUACUCUUCAUUUUCCAACUUGAGGGCAUCGAAUCGUUUUGCGCCAUUUGAUAUCAAAUCUGAAAUACUUAACACACGAUUAGUCCACAACACACGUUGUCAUCACCACCAAAAUUAACUAGAAGAGAAAUGCCCUUUCAAGUUUUACUUUUGAUGCACUUUCGUCCUCGUAAUUAACAUUGCGAUUUAAACGAAAAUAAGCCGGUGAAACAGUUAGACGCUGAAGGUUGCGACUUCUUUCUGGUUGGAGUUAGUUAUUCACAAACAUCAAGCAUACAACACUCAUAAAAAUAAACAAGCACAAUUAAUUAGUGGCAAUAAGUAUUCACUUAAGUUUUUCUCUUCUCGUUGUAACUGAUUUUCAGUUUAAGUGAAUUAAAAAUGCUUAUGCACAUGCGUAUGCAAUGCUUGAUGCACAACCAAGUCUACAGUUAAAAGCAGGGUUCUCACAAGUAUGUAUAAUACCCCAAUUAUACAUAUGAGCACAAUAGAAAUACGCGUGUACACUCACCCUACCCCACCUCUGUUAGACUGAGCCGACUGAUCUUUUGAAAUUGAAGUCACCGCAGACGCCUCGUUGUUAACGAGUGCGUCACCUAAAACUAAAAACAUAGUGCCGAUUAAAUCUUAGAAUAAAUUCAGGUAAUUCUGAGCCACAUAUCAAGUCUCAGACUUGAAUCUGGGUGGGCCGAUUUCACCACAACGAACCAAACCACUCGUAGCUCAGUUCGAGAAGACUCCAAAUUUGGUGUGCAUUUGUUUCAAACUCGAAUUGAACGCAUAUACAUUAAUGACACGAGCCAUAGAAUGUUAUUUAAAACAACAAGUUUGCAACUAUCUUCAACAGAUUUCAUAAAAAUAAUUCAGGCGCAUUCCGUUUAAAGAAAAGCAAAACAUAAAUAAAAAAACUUAGAAUUGUGAUACUAUGACAAAUUGUGUUGCCUUAUUGAAUUUAACGUUCAUUUUCCUUGAAAAACAUAGAAAUCAAUAGGAUUACCAAGCAAUCACUUUUUCUAUGUUGUGCAAAACGUAUUCAUCUACGGUGAACUUUCCCAUGAAGUUCUCAAUCUUUUGGAUUUCCUAUGAAUAAAGUCCGAACCGAAUGAGCCCAAUGUGAAAAAUGCAACUCUUCUCUAAAAUUUCCUAAAUUGUCUGUUUGUCCCAUACACCUUACUAUCAUGCACAUGAGGUAAAUGCAGGGCUGGUAUAUCAACUUGGCAAGGAUAUGCAAAUUGGUCAUUGUACAUGAAUGCUAAAAACAAGUGUUACAACUUGGCACGUUUGAGCACCCGAUCAAAAAUACAUACGGUUGGUCCAAAGGAUGAUGUGGCAUGCCCACGUGGACUAAGUGUACCUAGCCAUGCCAUUAAAUCUUGCAAAUAGCUCCCUCCUUCUUUUAUGCUCUCACCAUCGACCCCAUAAUCCUGAAUUUCCUUGUAUGCAUCCAUUCUUGCCAUACUUCUGCCACACAAUCUAAUCCUCGAUUAGGUGCUGCUACUUUAGUCUGCUGUCAGACAUCUGCAUGUAGGUCGGCGGAGGCACCACGCCAUCGAUGCCGUGAAGGAAUCCGCCAUGCCGCUGCACUGCUGCAGAGCCCCAGGCGGCCAACCUGCUCCCACUGCCGGAGAACACCUGUGCGUUCGUCGUGGCCGUCGCUGGUUGUACAUGCCGUUUAGAACAAUCAUGUUGAGGCUGCCGCACCGUUUGCUGGCUCGCAAGCGCGCUCGCCAACUCGACCAACGCCGUCUCCCAGUCUACCGCCCACCAGGGGUCAAACAGUUCAGUUGCCGGUGCUGAUCAGGCUGGGUAGUUGCCAUCGAAAAGCGCCAGCGCUAGCGCCUGCUGCUGCUUGUGCUCUUCCCCGGACAGUAGCCCCAAGCCCGGCGGAGCCCGUCUUCCCCAAGUCCGGUGAGAUGCUCUGCCACGAGCUUUGCCGACGAUGCUGACCGCCACGGCCCUCCCCUCUCAACUUAAUUCAAGAUAGACCACAUACUCCACCGGCUCCUGGAGAGAAGGGGAAGGGAGGCGACGGUGCAGGCGGGCGCGGCGGUGGGGGCAUCGGGCCACGGCUGCCACGCAGCGGAUCUGCACGGCCGCCGCUACCUCCGGUAGGAGGGAGGUCCUCGCAACGCCGGUGCGCGGGUCAUGGAGGGGAUGUACGUCCGCAGUCUGGAGUGUGCCAUUAGCGUCCUGUCAGCCAUCGUUUUCGUCCACGUCAGCGUCGAAAUAUACGAAUUCUUAGUAUUGACCUCGCGCGCUCAUACGUGCCAAGUUGUAACACUGGAAUUUAGCAUUUUGCAAGUACGAUGACUAAUUUGCACAUGAGCGCCAAGUUAAUAGACUGAUGGUGCAUUCACCUCUAUGCACAUCCACAUCAAAAUAUUACUGGGAUUUCGCCAAACACCAUAUGUGCAGCGAGGAGCUCACGAUCAGGGAGGUGCCAGCGUCGACAAAAGAGCACGUGGUUGUCAGCUGCCUGCAACUACUCUAGCGAUGAUGACAACGGACUAAUCAAAGUGCCACAACACUCACAAAGCUUCGGCAUGGCAGACUUCCGCAUACAUUUUGUAGUGUUUGGUUGCAGAGCGAGGUAAAAUGGAACGGAACGACUCUAUUUCUCUAGCAAUGGUAUGUAACAGAAUGGUUCUAUUUUUGUAUAUUUCAUAAACGAAACACUUGGACUUGGAACCAUGGUUUCACUUGGAACCAACUAAUUUACAUUUCCGAAUGAGAUGGUUAGACAUAUUGGAGAAAUGUUUAGAAACCAAACACAAAAAACACCUCCAAAACUAAAACCAUUCCAUUAUACUGUAUCUCACUUCAUUCGCUCUUGUGUGUACAUCAUGUAACUAGGCGCGUUCACCGGCACGGCAGGAGGCCAGAAGUAGGUGUGCAGAGUUUACCUUUCUCUUGGGGAAAUCUUUGGCAGCCGCUUUUUAGAAACCAAUCGUCGUGCGGUGAAAAAGAAUGCGAAACAGCAAAAUCUCUUGGAUCAUGUCACACGCCAAACUGCCACACGCGUACAGAGGAACACGUAUAGCCCGCAGGUUUUGGUCAUGCACCGAUGGGCAUCAGGGAUCUGUCGCCGCGUCUAGACUAGGGUUGUGUUUGUUUGGGCUCCUAGGAGCAGCUCCAACAGCUUCUGGGCCGUAGAAGCUGGAGCCCAAACAAACAACAUGUUUUUGGCCAGCUUCUUGUAGCCGCUGAAACGAAGCGCUUCUGAAAAAUGCACUGCGAGGACGAAGCUGCGAAAGGGACGCUUCUUCCAGCGGCUGCAGCUCCAAACUGUCAUUUUUACCGGUUUACCCUCCCACCAAACUCCAUACUACAAACAAAUUGCCACUGAACGGUUCGUUUUAUUUCAGUCUCUCCUCCGAGCGCAUCGCAUUGAUCCCUUCGUUCUCCCCACGACCACACCCCCAUCUGACGCCGCCGUCGCCCUGUUCUCUGGACGCCACCAGUGGAUGCGGGCCGCCGCCGGAUCUCCGGCGACUGGCUCGGGCGACCUCCUCUGGACUGAGCCGCGUCUCUCCACUGGCCGGAACCGCCACCGCCGUUGGAUCCGGGCCGCCGCCGGAUCUCCAGCGAUUGGCUCCGCCGCCCUUCUCUGGAAGGAGCCGCGCCACUCCUCUGGCUGGUUCCGCCUUAAGAUCAGGAGAGCUCAACCUCUGCCGCCUUUCUGGCUUAGCUGCUGCCGCGAGCGGCCUGCGCCGGCCAUUGCUUCGUUUGUGGCCUCGAGCGCCCCGCGUUGGCCCCCGACGCCUCUCCCACCUUUGGCCCCUACCGCCGCUACAUCCUUUGGCCUCCGACGCCAUGCGCCCAUGCCCAUCCUCUUUGAUGCCAGCCUGGACCUCCUCCUUUCCCCGUUGGCAUCUACUUCUUUCCCAUACUCACUGUACAUGUGUGGAUGCGAAUCACUGUGUGCGUAUGCAUGAAAGUUUUAAAACUUUGUGAAUUAGCUCACGGUACUAUGUAUUAGUGUAUGCAUAUGCGGCAAAAAUCUGUUAAAAUGGCACAAUCAGCACUUAUACCCAAUCUACAGUACUACAGGGUCAUUUAGGUCAUUCCAACAUAUUCCAGCUGCAGCUGCAGUCGCACCAGCUGCCGAAACAAACAGACAUCUAACAACUCCAACCUUCCAACCGCAGCUGACAGUCAUAGCUGAUUCUGGGAGCUGCAGCUGUGAAAUUUCAGCCCAAACAAACGCAACCUAGAAAGGGUCGUGCUUUAGGAUCCGUAUAGCCCGGGAGUGUCUCUAAACCGAACAGUGAGUUCCAUUCCAGUGUACCGAAUUUGUCUAUUCCUUUUCUCUUUAACUGAACCCCUGUUUGCGUUAUUUCAAGCAAAGGAAAUGGACAACACACACCGACCAGCCAUUGACCCCUGGCCCAACGGCUACACAGUGACUUGAUUUUGUGUGUUCCAUUGUCGGAAGCACUUUGCAUAUGAUUUUUUUAGAGAUUUCGUCAUUCUAAUAAUAGUGUCGCCGGCAGCCAUACGGCCAUACAGGUUUAGGGCCUUUUGGUUGAUCUGUGAUACUUCCUCCAUUUCAUAAAGGUUGACGUAUUUUGUUUCGACAAGGAUUUGUUCAAUGAAAACUCUAUUCAUAUUUGUUUUUCCAUGCAUGAAAUUUAUAUCAAUGAAUUCGUCUUUAAAAAUUCUUGUUAAUGAUCAUGGUUUCGUAUCAUAUAACUUACAUAUUAAUAGAGUAAUUUUUGAUCAAAUAAUUGUCUUAACGAAACGAAAUACGCCGACCUUUAUGAAAUAGAGGGAGUGAUUAAUAAAAGCAAGGGAAUAACAACGGAAUCAGAUACCCUACAGGCCUACUACACCAUGGAUUUCCAUGAUAUGUCAAAACACCGUAAUUCUACAGGUGCCUUUUGACGUUGCUCAGUACAGAGAGAGAGAGAGACGAGGCUUCAGCUUAUUUUGAGGUCCAAUGGGAAUUUGGCAAGGAUUCAGCUGAGUACUUUGAAAUAGUAGCCUCUUUGGAAGCGGCAUCGGAUCCGGAUAAGCUUCUCGCGUGGUUGAUUCCUUGCGAGCUGGGAAAGGACUCUUCUGACACCUGCGCUUCAGCGCCUGUUUGCCCCAGAGGAUCAUCGCGUAUCCCAUUCUGAAAAGAAGAGCACCCGCGCGUGAAAGCGAUGGACGGUGUGGAUCCGAAAGCACGAUGCGAUAGACGGCGAGGAUGAGGAGAGCCAUUACUGUACGUGUCGUUUUCUGGGCAAGGGAGGGAAGGCAGGCUUUCACUGCUGCUUUUUGAUCGGCGCAGGGUCUUUCUAUCUUCUUGCCCGUUCCGAGAAGGACGAAUUUCUUGGUGGACGCAACGUGCCAGAUCGCUUGGACGAUCGCGAAGCAGCGCACACGGCGUGUUUUUGGCCGACGAUAGGAUUGCAUCAGUUCGUUGUUGUGCACAGCACGUACAAUAUAGAUCGUCUACUGUUUUCCAGGGGCUGAUAAAAAUUUGAUUUUAUCCUCUCUGGGUGUCCGUCCGGUCAUGCCUGCCCAUCAUUCUACGCCAUACCCUAGUCUACCGUUACGCGAUGAAAGUUCGCGUCGAUUCUUGCCUUGCCAUCAUGUUUAGUUCAAGCGAGGCAAGGUAUGCAGAGUAGUGGUAAUGUGUUUUUAGUUGUCUAUGCAAAGUUUAAUCAUAUUUUCGUGUGUAUCCAAGGAUUUGCUCGCCCACACAGAAGACAGGACAUGUUCAAUGGCGAGGAGCAGUAUUUUCUCAUGGUCCUCCGAUGCUAAUUAAAUACGGUACUUCCUCGGUCCACAAAGAAUGUCUCAAUUUUGACUAAAUUUGAAUGCAUUUAUAUACUAAGUUAUGUCUAGAUACAUUCAAAUUUUAACAAUGUUGGACGGAGGGAAUAGGUUAUUUAACUUAUUCCAUAGAGUGUUAUAUAAAUUUCCAUGUCUUCUAAGUUCAAUAAAAGCUCCCUUUAUUAAAAAAAAUAUAUAUAAAUUGAAAUUUAAUUAAAAACUGUGUUCGAUAAAUGUGUUUGGUACAAUGGGAAAAAAUAUUCUCUUGAGCAUGAAGAUCAUCGUUGAUGAAGGGAAUGCCAAAUUCUCUAUCUUGGUUUGUUCAUGGCUCAACAAACAAAAUCAUAUGUAUGACAUCAAUACAAUGGUUGACAAUAUAAUGAUAUUUGUUGCGCUCCUUUUUAUUACCACAGCAUGACUCGUACAUGCCAACAACAAGACAUGAAUAACGCGAAAACUUUCUUGCUAUCGAGAUUGUUCAGCACCUUUGGAAUUUUGUUGCGUGUUAAGGGCCUGUUUUGUUGGAGGAUUGAGUGCCAUGCCUGAAAAAAAGAUGUGCAUGUAUGGAACUUUAUGUGUAGGUCUUUCUUGUCUGGUCAGGCUAGCCUUGGUUAGAUGUGUUUGUUCGAGCGCCUGGCCUGGUGCUGUCUCAAGCAAGUAACAUUCUCAAGCAAGUAAUAUUAUGCGUUGAUUGCUCAUGUCCCUAUUGUUUUUACUUAAAAAAUAUAUGAUGUGACUGCUAGGAUUUUGAUUACUACCAGGCACCAGCUGUAGCAUGCCCAGGCUUGAGAAAUCGGAGGCCUGCCGUGUGCCUGGCAGGCUAAUCACACUGUGUAUGUGGUCAGGCCAGGGAAGCGUAUUUUUUCACAGGCACCAAGCAAACAACUUUCUGCUACUCCCGGGCACAUCUCCGGCCAGGCGUGGCUAUGCCAUCCAAACAGGCUCUAAAUACAUUUUUCACCUCAAAAUUGUGGACCCGGUCCAAAGUAAAUUCCAAUCUAGUCAAACUUCGUCUAAAUUCAAUGAAAAAUGUUUGGAACAAUUCAGAAAAAUUGUCGUGUACCGAAAUUUAACAAUGAACCCUGCGCCCCGGCAUGCCAUUCAACAAUGGCUCUCCGAGUCGUCUAGAUCUAGAGUUGAUAUUUCGGAAGCAACUAAUUGACAGAGUUCGUCUAAGUUCGUUCGUCUAUUCUUUUUUCUUUUGAGAUCAGAUCCGUCUUUUUUUUAGCGAAACACAAGGCCCUAUUCAUCUUUUUUGAGAAUACGGCCCUAUUCAUCUAGAGUUGAUUUCUGCAAGUUCAUGCCUUUCUGGGUCCGUGGCAGCCAGGCCCCCAGUGGCCCAGUCUAUCAAAUCGAGCAGAUCCAUCGAGUCGCUGAAGGCAAAAAUACCUUUGGUAGUCACGGGGCAACAAACUAAACUUGGCCCAGAUGUCGUUGUACAGCACUACCACAGUUUUUUUUUAGGGGUACCACGGGUAUUUCAUCAAAUCAGUGGUUGACGAACAGUAAACUGCAAAUUAACCCCGUGGGCCGUAACGAACAAGAGUUACUCUCAACCACCAGAUGCAGAAGCAAUGAACAAGAGCAUCCGAGCACGCCGCUAAUCAGAACAACUGAUAGUACUCAUGUUCAUCAGAAGUUGAGAACCGAGCGAUUUGUGUAAAGAAUAGUGCUGCUAGCAAACAACUCGCAAUUUAUCCCAUGUUAUAAAGCAAACCUUAACUAGUUCACCUGCAUGGUAACUUCAUUUUCUUCUUCAAGAACCGAAUGGCCAAUAUGACAGAUGAGAUCAUGAUCAUGAGUAUGGCCAACAUUGGCUGUCAUAAGCGCUCGAGAUCAUGAGUACUACUGACCAGCAGUAUGAAAGACUUUCUGCAUACAUCCAGGCACCAAAUCAAAGUACUACGGCGUAUCAAGUAUGAACCACGAUCAACCAACCACAGAAGCAUAUACGAUGCAAAUCCUAACACAAACCGCCUACGAUAUAUCCAAAGAAUGAACCCAAGCAACCAACAAAUCCAUGUAAAAAUUUCUCAGCAGGCAUCAGCGAGUCACCACGGACACACUCCCAAUGAACCCGGCGCCCCAGCAUGCCAUUGCCCGCUCGCUCUCUCAACUCUCAAGUCUCAACUCUCACCACAGGAGCAUCAUCAUCACACCACCGGCAGCAGCAACCGCCAAGUAACCACCACCGGCGCCUUGCGACGCGGCGCUCUUCUCCCCGGCCUUGGCCUUAGCACUGGCCGCCUUCCCGGACGCCGGGCUCAGAGCAGCAUCGUCAUCGGCCUUGGCAUCCACGGGCGCCGGCGCCGGGGCCGGCGCCAGCGGCGGGUCGCUCUUGAAGAUCUGCAUGGGCAGGAGCACCUUGUCGACCUCGUAAACCGCCACGGGGCGGGUCGAGUAGACGCUGCUGCUGAUCUUGGGGUUGGACCACAUGGACUUGACACGGAUGCUGCCCAUGUUGUCGGUGAGGUUGAGCGUGUACUGGGAGCCGGCGAACGUGGGCACCGGGUUGAGGCUGCUCAGCUUGUUGAACUCCGCCAGGGAAUAGUACUUGGGCAGCGCGUGGUACAGCACCAGGGACUUGAGCUCUUCGCCCGUGAGGUUGGCGAACGUCGUGGCACGGAGAGACGAGAAGGCCGAGUCUUUGGGGACGAAGAUGGUGAUCCCUUCGGCGCUCUCCUUGGUGUCGUUCGCCUUGCUCUGGAAGGUCUUGAGGACGUCCGUCUUCUCCAGGUAGUCGAGGAAGGUGUGGAAUGGCCCGGCCACGCUCAGGAGGUCCGCGAGGUUCACGAUGUGUGGGGAUGGCGCUGGCGCUGGGGAUGGCGGGAGGAUGUCGGCUGGUGGUGCUGGCGGGCUCUUGUCCUUCGCCUUCUGGGCGAGUGCUGGAGUGGAGGAGAGGAUGAUCAUGGCGGCGGCUACCAUGGCCGCCGUGAAGAGGCCUGCUCUGAACUCCAUCCUGAUGCUGCUUCUCUGACUGACACCGCCUUCUCUUCUUCCCCUGAGAUCACGCAAAAACAGAGAAGCGUUAAGCACUGUUGUUUUCUUCCUUUUUCGCGCAUUUCGGAUGAGUCUGAAUUACAGAAUUACUGGCAGUACGAUGUACAGUCUGCAAAAUAUACAUCGACUAGAUUUACUGAAUUUACUGGUUUCAGUUCCUGGUCUGAAUGCAAGAACAGUACUGUAACUUGCUGCUCAACUGAUUUCUGCAAUUUCGGAUAUACUGAUGGAGUUGGGCAAUUGGCACUCAGUAACAUUUCAAGAAACUUUCUUGCUUCUCGAUCUGAAAGGCUUAGAUGUCUAGAACUUGAAAGUACUAGUAUGAAGAUUUCAGUUUUGAGUACAAGUGACCAGAAUUUUGGAACUAAUUACUGCUCCUUUCCCUAUCACCAAGAAAGACAAAGAUAGACGGCGAAAGGAAAACCAGUUCAGACCGGAUCUAGCAGAAUUGACCGACAUUAUAGAACUGUAAAGUUUCUACCUACCAAAUCAUCAAACACAUGACAUGAACUAUACACGAACUAAAUGACAGUAGUACUCCUAGUCUCCUACAUUCUCCAGAUCUCUGCACCAUGGAAGAACCCAAAGCUUAAGCAAAUGCCGAGAACCCAAGAAAAACACCCAUAUUUGCUUCAGCUCAAGAGCUGGGACCAAAAUCACACACAACAUUUGCUUCAGCUCAAAGGAAAAGAAAAGACACAGAAGUACAUGAAGAAAGAUCUGCUCUUCCUUGGGCCAAGAACCGCGAGAACAGAUCCAAAUGCAGCGCUGUAAUUGAGCUAACGGGAGAACCGCCUCUAAUUGCAACUCAACACAUGGAGACCCCAAAAAGGGUAAGGAAAUUCGAGCAUUUCCGCCAUGGCGCUGCUGGAUUGGAUUGAGAUGUGAAAGAAAGGUCGAGGAGAACUGACCUGAGCAGCGCAGAGCAGGGAGGGUAGUGAAGGCAGCAGGAACAGGAUGAGGUAGGAGGUGUGUGGGGAUGAGUUAUGUGGGAGUCUCUGUGUGUGUGUUGUUGUAUAAAAGGUGGUGUAUGGGGAAGAGGGAGUAAAAGACAAUGACAUCAUGGGUGGCAGCUGUUGAUGAGAUAAAUAAGAGAGAGAAGUGGCCAAAGAUGCACGGCGCAAUAAAGCUUAGCCAGCCAGACCUCUGUUGUUUUCUGAAACAGAAACUUACGUUUUUCUUUUGAUUAGUAGGAAAAUUAGCAUCCGAUUUCUCGUGGCUACAGCUAGUUAUGCAAUGCUGCAAGCAAGGUUGUUUCUGGCUUUUCUCAUCAAGUUUGUUUGCACUGAUAUUUGUUAGGAAUAAUAAUUCUUAAGUUGUUAUACUUACUAUAUGGGUUCAUGUACUUUAUACAGUGUAAUCUUUCACUAAAUUAUUUCCCUUUUUCUUUCAAAAGCACAAGGAGCAACUCUUUUGUAUGAUUGUCUUCAUGUUCGCUUGGGCAUAAAUCAUAAAAGCAAAUGGGUUAAAAUGUAGUGAUCCGCCAACAAAUAAAAAGGCGAGCUUCAGUUGCAAAGAUGAGCAAUGCAACUAACCGCACACGAGUUGAUGUGGUGUACUGUGUACCGACAGUGCGUUUAGGACUUUGGGGGUGUUUCAACGAUGGUAAAAAGAAAUCUACGUGCUCACAUAAUUAGUUUAGACUUGACUAAGCACUGAACUCACUAAGAAACAUUUAUGAGCUUCAAAUUUUUCUCUUCUGUAGUACAGAAAAGGAUUUCCCCAAGUUUCAGAAGAGUUUGCAAAAAAAAAAAAAAGUUUCAGAAGAAGGAAAAAAAAAAGUCACCCGCUUUGACAGUUUCACCCUCCCAGAGGCACUAUCUGAACACUUUUCUAUUGCUGGGAGAAUCCGAAUAUCUCCAUGACACAACGUAACAAACACAUGCCACCUGCCAAUCCUGGAGAGCUUACACGGCACCAUAUUUUAUUUUUUGAAAAGAAAAACUGAGACGAGAAGCAGAAGCUUGUUGUGCCGGCGUUUUCUAAGCCUUCGGUCCAGAGAAUUUUCGUCAGAUGUGACGAAGCUCUUGAUUAGAAGCUUCAGUUGGCCGAAGACAGCACAUGCUUACAGUCGGCACAUACACUGGUGUUAGUACUGUAACAACUUCUUUUCUCUCGAUAAAAAAUACUGUAACCGCUUUUGCAGUAACAUAUACUCCAAAUCUCUGCGAAAGAAAAAGGAUAUAUACACAUGCAAGAUUCACAUGUGCUCCUCCAAGUCCUGUUCCUUUUUCUUACUCUUUUCGCGGCUCACAUGGUACUGCAGCAUGCUGGUUGGUCUGAACAUAGAACACCCCGGUCGGUCGAGCUGCCGUGUUACGUGCAAUAAUUUGCAGAGGAAGCACGAGGUAAGUCCGCUAAUUUUUUUAAUGAACGUGUAGAUGUGGCGUGGUUACGCGAGCUCGCAGCGGGGGAGGACUGGUGAUAUGACGCGCGGAGUGUCGGCGGGGCCGCCGUUUUGGCUGGGCUGGGGCAGCUUCCGUGGAAGAAAGUUGCAGAAUGGAAGUUCUAGCUUUUCUGGCAGUAGGUGAGAGGGCUUGGUCAUGAGAGGGGGAGUAAUCACGGAGUUCUCGAGCUGUCAUCCCGUGCACUUGAAACGUAUGAAAGGUCUGCUGGGAAUGUGUUCAUAAUUUCAUAUUCAUUGUAUAGAAAAAUUAGCAUUAGAUUCGUUGUUAUAAGGGUACUCUGUAGUACAGUAGUAGGAGUAUAGUACAUCUUAGUUUGAUGAUGUAAAUUGAUUACCGAAGACACGUACAAUAUCUCUGCUCCUAAAUAUUAGAAGUCGUAAUUUUGUCCCAGGUCAAAUUUUACUUUUUAAAGUUUGAUCAAGUUUAUAUAAAAACUUAUCAACAUAUAUAACUUAAUUUAGUUUUAUUAAUUCUGCCAUAAUAUAUAUUGUCAUAGAGUAGUCAUUUGAUGAUGUUGUGGAUCUUAGUAGUUUUUUCUAUAAACUUAGUCAACUUAGAAAUGUUUAAAUUAGAACAAAUAUAUGGCUUUCAUAUUUAGAAACAAAGGAAGUAGUACUGUCCAACUGCGAAGCGGUUCAUGAAACGCAGGAUUUUCCUCACACAAACAUCACCAUAUCAUAUUACAUGAUCACUCAUCAUUUUAGUUUCCUUCCUCUCGAAGAAUACGGAGGCUUGGAGAGCAGAGACCUUUUUGGGCACAGUAUCCGUGGCUUUACCUCCCUGAUCGACCUGGAAAAAGAACGCUUGCUCUUCCCUAUGCAUUGCUUGCUUUCAGUCGGUGCCACGAGAAGAUCAGCUCCCCUGUCGAAUUCAUACUCCUGCUGCACUACUAGUCUCCAGACGCGGCCAUCUUUCAUACGCAAAAAGUGUACGUACGUAUGUCAAUUCCAGAAGCUCGUGUUGGUUGUGUUGUCAGUACUGCAUUCUGCUGUAUAGCUUUCAAGAUUAGAAUACGUUUUCUGUUCUGGUGCCUGAUCCCAUUGUAUGAUCACCUUGAUUAUGCGCCACGAGACGUCCCUAAUGAUGGUUCGUUAACGGCCAAUGACUCGACAACAACCAAAUCACGCGCAGAAAUGAGACGUCGAUCCGGCAGUGGAACAAUUGACAGUAAGGAAGUUCCUGCACGGGGACGUGAUACCGACACGAUGCCCGCCGCUCCAUGAAGAAGUAGCAGAAGGAGAUUCCGGCUAUAGCAUAAGUACAGAUUUCUCUCUGCCAUGUGACCUUGUCAAUUGCCACGACACGCCGUUGUUCGAUUCGCUGAGAGCGGAGAUUCGGGACGCCACGGCGACGCGCAGUGAGCACCGACAUGUAUUCUAUUUCUGCCGCUAGUUUCAGUGUAUGCAAUAGUCCAGGUGGAUUUGCCUGUUAACCUCAGUUUGUAGUACUGUAGUAUUCCUUUUAUAAACUUACUGACAAUUUGUCGUGAACGAAAUCUACGGCCUGGCUACUUUUUUCCGGAAAAAAAACACUGACAGUAGUUUUUCUUCGUGAUUCGUACUAGACUCUCUCUUCUUUUCUUUUCUUUUUUGAAAGAAGGACGUCCACAACCGAAGCAAAACCUCAAGCCAAUAGAAUUGUCAGAAAUGACCUCCUCCCAAACGAAAUGACAAAAGUGGCCUAGCGGAACGUCCCGAAGGCGCGACGUCGCGCUUCUUGCCAAUAACAUUGGUGGAAGGUACUUAACUCCAAUUGCAUUGGAGGAAGGGCUUUAAAUCCAAUUGCAUUGGAAGAAGCCCUAUGCAUGGACACUUUAGGACAUCGGGCGGGCCCGGUUGAUUUUCUUUUUCGUUUUCUUCUUAUGUUUACUGGUUCUGAUAUUUGUAAAAUUUAUUUGAAGAUCCAAACAACUCCAAUCUUUAUGAAAUUUUGAUGAUAAGUUUAAAAACGUUAUUAUCCACUUACAGCAAAAGUUUCAAUUAUUUUGGAGCAAAUUUGAAUCUGUGAUUUAUUUGAAUUCAAAACUUGUUUAAUUCAAAGUUGCUCCAAAAUAAUCAAAAAAUUUAUUGUACGUGGGUAACACCAUUUGAAACUUACCUUCAAAAUUCUGUGUAGAUCGGAGUUCGUUUGAAUCUUCAAAUAAAAAUUUACAAAUAUCAAAAGAAGUAGGUGUAAGAAAAAAAAAGGUAGAACAAUUGGAUUUAAGUACCUUCCUCCAAUACCAUUGGCAAGAAGUGCGACGUAGCGCUUUCCGGGCGUUCCGGCAGGCCACUUUUUUCAUUUCGUUCGGAAGUGGACCAUUCCUGGCAUUUUCGUUGGCAGGAGGGCCAAUGGUGCAAAAUUUCUCCACAACCUAUAUGCAUCGGUUGAUGCACAUAGCUAAGAUAGAUUCCGCUGAUGCGAGCGUUUGUUCCAAGAACCGAGAAUUCAUAAGAUUUGGCGUUUGUUUGCUAUGUCAAAUAAUGUCAUGGUUGGUUUUCGCACACAUCUCUGGGAUCUCUUACAGUGUUACUUAUAAGUUGACUGGUUUUAUAUUUCUUAAAUCGAACACUCUAAAAGUACUGGAACUUCAAAUUUGUAUUUUAUAAUGCGCAAGAAGCAACAAUGUUUCGUACGGCCGUACCGAAAACAGCUUUAUUGUUGAUGAACAUGGUGCGUCAAACGCAGUAAACGAACAUCUAGCUAAAAAAGAGAUCUACGCAGAGGUUGUUAUAUACUCCGAGCGAGUUCGUUCGAUUUCUGUAAUUAAUUAAAGCUUGAGUCCACGGAAUCAUACUCCUUUAGCACAUAGCUGUGUGUGAAAAUUUUAACUUUACAUACAGAGAGUAUAACCAGUAGUUUUACUGCACCAAGCUCUGCUCUGCCGUUGCCAAGCAAGCAGCCGACAGACGGAAGCAGGGCACCAUGCGUUUCUUCUUCUUCUUCUUUCUCGUCGUAAUCCCGAUGAAUUUCGUCGAAUUUGCUGGAUCAGAUCAGAUCCUGGACGGGAUGAGGGGCGUGGCAUUGGAAAGGUACGCGGCGGCAGCUGCCACGCCGCUCCCCAGCUUCACCGGGUACCCGACGUCCUUGAGCACCAUCUCCACCCCGCUCAGGCAUCCCAGCAGUUGCAGCUGCAGCCCAAAACGCAAAAAAUCAAAGUUAAUCACACAUUUGAUGAUCGCUACUGCACAUCGCAGUACUGCAACUGAUAUUAGCAGCAGCUGUGAGUGAGUCUGUGACAAAGUGAUGAAGAUUUUGUGUAUACCUCGUUGAGGUUGCCGAGGUGGCCGAUCCUGAAGACCUUCCCCGCGACCUUGUUGAGGCCGAGUCCCAGGCUGAGGUUGUACCGCUUCCAGGCGUGCUUGACGAUCUCGGCGCUGUCGAUGUAGGGCGGCACCACGACGGCGGUCACCGUGUCGCUGAAGUUCUCCUCCUUCUGCGUGCAGUUCUUGAGCCCCCACGCCUCCACAGCCAUCCUACAAUCCAAGACACGCAUCAUUCAAUAAUUCUUCAAAGAUAAGAUCUUUGUCAGUGAAAUUUCCGCAGGGAAUACACGUACCUUGUGGCGGUGCCGAGGCGGGUGUGCCUCUUGAUGACGUUGUCGAGGCCUUCCUCGAAGAUGAGGUCGAGCCCGGCGCGGAGGCCGUAGAGGAGCUGGAUUGAAGGCGUGUAAGGCCAGUAUGUGCCCAUCUUGUAGAACUUGAGGUAGUCCUUCCAGUCGAAGAAGACCCUGACGGACUUGGCCGUCUUGCUUGCCUCGAGCGCCCUCGGGCUGGCGCACACGAUCCCCAGCCCCGUCGGCAGCGACAGCGCCUUCUGCGACCCCGUCAGCGCCACGUCCACCCCCCACUCGUCCAUGCGGAAGUCCAGCGCGCAGAUCGACGACACCCCGUCCACCAGCAGCAGCGCCGGGUGCCUGUACGCAUCUGCCCCCCCAAUCCCGUCCACAUACAUCAAACAAGAUUCAUCCAAAGAAGAUCGAUUGAUUGGGGAUUAGUGGGGAAUUGACGGACCGAGGAGCUUGCGGACGGCGUGGAGGUCGUUGGUGACGCCGGUGGCGGUCUCGUUGUGGACGAUGCAGACGGCCUUAAUGGUGUGCGCCGCGUCCUGGCUGAGCUUGGUCUCUAGGGCGCCGAGGUCGGCGCCAUGGCCCCAGUCGCUCUCGACGACGUCGACCUGGAAGUUGAGGCGCUGCUGCUGGUCGAUCCAGAGGAGG
RNAcentral lists this long non-coding RNA (16923 nucleotides) under Brachypodium distachyon (stiff brome). Its description in RNAcentral is "long non-coding RNA (BDIS_LNC003761)". The record is from RNAcentral. Lineage: Eukaryota; Viridiplantae; Streptophyta; Magnoliopsida; Poales; Poaceae.